RNAcentral lists this ribosomal RNA (450 nucleotides) under Gonatodes caudiscutatus (shieldhead gecko). RNAcentral's name for it is "partial large subunit ribosomal RNA". Lineage: Eukaryota; Metazoa; Chordata; Lepidosauria; Squamata; Sphaerodactylidae. The record is from RNAcentral.
UCUUUUUACCCCGUUCAAAGGUAGAGUAAUCAGUUSUCCCCCAAAUAGGAAAUAGUAUGAACGGCCACAUGAGGGUWCAACUGUCUCUYUUAGUUGCUCAAUGAACUUGAUCUUUCAGUACAAAAGCUGAAAUACUCCCAUAAGACGAGAAGACCCUGUGGAGCUUAAGUCACAGCACUACUACCACAUAGCGCCUCCCUUUAGUUGGGGCGACUGCGGAACAAAACACAACUUCCCUGCCACACAUUAAACCCCGCAACGACACACAUGUCACUGCACCCACACCACGACCCAGUACUACUGACUAACGAACCAAGUUACCCCAGGGAUAACAGCGCUAUCCUCUUCUAGAGCCCCUAUCGCCAAGAGGGUUUACGACCUCGAUGUUGGAUCAGGACCUCCUGGUGGUGCAGCCGCUACCAAGGGUUCGUUUGUUCAACGAUUAAGGUC